UACGUAGGUGGCAAGCGUUGUCCGGAAUCAUUGGGCGUAAAGCGCGCGCAGGUGGUUUCUUAAGUCUGAUGUGAAAGCCCACGGCUCAACCGUGGAGGGUCAUUGGAAACUGGGGAACUUGAGUGCAGGAGAGAAGAGUGGAAUUCCACGUGUAGCGGUGAAAUGCGUAGAGAUGUGGAGGAACACCAGUGGCGAAGGCGACUCUUUGGCCUGUAACUGACACUGAGGCGCGAAAGCGUGGGGAGCAAACAGG
This 253-nucleotide ribosomal RNA is filed under the name uncultured bacterium. RNAcentral's name for it is "partial 16S ribosomal RNA". It matches the Rfam family "Bacterial small subunit ribosomal RNA", at positions 524 to 776 of the family's 1533-position model. The record is from RNAcentral.